This 244-nucleotide ribosomal RNA is filed under the name uncultured bacterium. Its description in RNAcentral is "partial 16S ribosomal RNA". It matches the Rfam family "Bacterial small subunit ribosomal RNA", at positions 90 to 334 of the family's 1533-position model. The record is from RNAcentral.
ACUGAGCGGCGGACGGGUGAGUAACGCGUGGGUAACCUGCCUCAUACAGGGGGAUAACAGUUGGAAACGGCUGCUAAUACCGCAUAAGCGCACAGUACCGCAUGGUACGGUGUGAAAAACUCCGGUGGUAUGAGAUGGACCCGCGUCUGGUUAGGUAGUUGGUGGGGUAACGGCCUACCAAGCCGACGAUCAGUAGCCGACCUGAGAGGGUGACCGGCCACAUUGGGACUGAGACACGGCCCAA